This 429-nucleotide ribosomal RNA is filed under the name Actinomycetes bacterium. RNAcentral's name for it is "Actinobacteria bacterium partial 16S ribosomal RNA". It matches the Rfam family "Bacterial small subunit ribosomal RNA", at positions 355 to 776 of the family's 1533-position model. The record is from RNAcentral. Lineage: Bacteria; Bacillati; Actinomycetota; Actinomycetes.
UAGGGAAUCUUCCGCAAUGGGCGAAAGCCUGACGGAGCAACGCCGCGUGAGUGAUGAAGGUCUUCGGAUCGUAAAACUCUGUUAUUAGGGAAGAACAAAUGUGUAAGUAACUAUGCACGUCUUGACGGUACCUAAUCAGAAAGCCACGGCUAACUACGUGCCAGCAGCCGCGGUAAUACGUAGGUGGCAAGCGUUAUCCGGAAUUAUUGGGCGUAAAGCGCGCGUAGGCGGUUUUUUAAGUCUGAUGUGAAAGCCCACGGCUCAACCGUGGAGGGUCAUUGGAAACUUGAAAACUUGAGUGCAGAAGAGGAAAGUGGAAUUCCAUGGGUAGCGGUGAAAUGCGCAGAGAUAUGGAGGAACACCAGUGGCGAAGGCGACUUUCUGGUCUGUAACUGACGCUGAUGUGCGAAAGCGUGGGGAUCAAACAGG